UGAAUACGACAAGAUGCUAUAAGUUUAAACUGUAGUAAGGAAGAUUUUGGUUAAAGACUACAGAAAUUAUUCUGAAAGUAAACCAACAGUACCAGAACACCCCUGGAAUAGGUACAGGCUGUCCUUGCUUUGGGGCUAAGUAAUUAAGUUUGACAUUCCUUUGAGAACUUCCUUAGCCCUGUAAGUCUGGUUAUUAAUCAGUUAUACUUAACAUACCAACACCUAGCUUAUCACCAUGGUUAGAGCUGUACUAUGCUGAGACUCAGUGCAGAUCACAAACAAUAGCGUGUUUUGGAUUCAGAGAGCUUGGUUGUCAAAGCAGACAAGGUAACCAGAAAGUAGGGAAAGGGAAGUACAUGACAAUUCAUUAUGAAAAUUGCACUAAACAGCACCUUAGUAUCCCCUUUUUGGAGGAUAAGGCUAGGAAGGAGUAAGUGACAGUAGAUGGAAAGAGAGGUAGAAAAAACAAUACUAAAGGAAGCAGGAGGCAAUUUGAGAAGAAACUAGGGCAAACAACCUCCAUCACAGAACAAAGUCCAACACUGCAUAUUAAUCACUUGCCCAUCAGUCACCAUUAAGCUGCACUGACUCUGCUAAAUUCACUCCCAAGCUCUUCCCCAAGCAUAGGUAAUGAGGAAACAGCCAAACAGGCCCUGCUGUGGCAAGAAAUACCUCCCCAAGAAAGCACAAGUCUGGACACUGCUGGAGUUUCCAACUGAACCACAGAGCUGAUCACAUACUUCACUUCUGCAUCAGCCUUUACCAUCUCCACUAAACUCAGCUGGAAGCUAUCAAAAACAAGAAGCCUUGUCACACCCUUGCAAAGGUUCAAACAGCUCAGCUGUAACUAGCUCAGCCUCCACACCCAGCACUCCCAGAGCUGUGACAUCUCAUAUCCAGACCGCUGUUUUCUGCUGACUGACCGGAGGCAGGUACACAAACUACAUUUAUGGGAACUGCAUUGGAUUUCAUGGGACUGAUGAUACCACGACCUAAGUAGGUGUGAGAAAAGAAGUUUUCUCCCAGCAUGAGUGGUGGCUGAGGACCCAGCAUGCCUGUGUUCAAUCCUAUGCGUGCCUGCAGACAAGUCCCAGGGCUGCUCUGCUCCUCGCCUGCAACACAGGCGUGACGCUCACAGAGCUGUUAACACAAACACUAAACCCCGAAAACAACAAAACAGAGUUGUCUGGCAGAGCCAGGUAAAAGAGGAAUUGAAAGCACUUCAACAGCCACGCUAGGAAGCACGUUUCCUUCGGGGCGGCCGAAGAGGGACAAGCUCGGGUGCAGCCUUCAGGCCGCGGCGGCGGGGGGGAGGCAGGCAGAAGCCUCCG
This 1331-nucleotide long non-coding RNA is filed under the name Struthio camelus australis. RNAcentral describes it as "lncRNA (ENSSCUG00000011043.1)". Lineage: Eukaryota; Metazoa; Chordata; Aves; Struthioniformes; Struthionidae. The record is from RNAcentral.